GCCUACGGGUGGCUGCAGUGGGGAAUUUUGCGCAAUGGGGGCAACCCUGACGCAGCAACGCCGCGUGAGUGAUGAAGGCCUUUGGGUCGUAAAGCUCUGUCAGAGGGAAAGAAAUGUGGGCGACUAAUAAUUGUUCCACUUGACGGUACCCUCAAAGGAAGCACCGGCUAACUCCGUGCCAGCAGCCGCGGUAAUACGGAGGGUGCGAGCGUUGUUCGGAAUUAUUGGGCGUAAAGCGCGUGUAGGCGGCUUAUUAAGUCUGAUGUGAAAGCCCUGGGCUCAACCUGGGAAGUGCAUUGGAUACUGGUAGACUUGAGUACGGGAGAGGGCAGUGGAAUUCCCAGUGUAGGAGUGAAAUCCGUAGAUAUUGGGAGGAACACCGGUGGCGAAGGCGGCUGCCUGGACCGAUACUGACGCUGAGACGCGAAAGCGUGGGGAGCAAACAGGAUUAGAUACCCUUGUAGUCC
Molecule: ribosomal RNA, 467 nt
Filed under: uncultured Geobacter sp.
Lineage: Bacteria; Pseudomonadati; Thermodesulfobacteriota; Desulfuromonadia; Geobacterales; Geobacteraceae
Description: bacterial SSU rRNA
Rfam family: Bacterial small subunit ribosomal RNA
Source: RNAcentral